GCCGGCGUGGCUCAACUGGUAGAGCAACCGCCUUGUAAGCGGUAGGUUGGGGGUUCAAGUCCCUCCGCCGGCA
Molecule: transfer RNA, 73 nt
Filed under: Minwuia thermotolerans
Lineage: Bacteria; Pseudomonadati; Pseudomonadota; Alphaproteobacteria; Minwuiales; Minwuiaceae
Rfam family: tRNA
About the family: Transfer RNA (tRNA) molecules are approximately 80 nucleotides in length.
Source: Rfam by way of RNAcentral